Molecule: ribosomal RNA, 425 nt
Filed under: uncultured bacterium
Lineage: Bacteria
Description: partial 16S ribosomal RNA
Rfam family: Bacterial small subunit ribosomal RNA
Source: RNAcentral
GUGGGGAAUAUUGGACAAUGGGCGCAAGCCUGAUCCAGCCAUGCCGCGUGAGUGAUGAAGGCCCUAGGGUUGUAAAGCUCUUUCACCGGUGAAGAUAAUGACGGUAACCGGAGAAGAAGCCCCGGCUAACUUCGUGCCAGCAGCCGCGGUAAUACGAAGGGGGCUAGCGUUGUUCGGAAUUACUGGGCGUAAAGCGCACGUAGGCGGGUAUUUAAGUCAGGGGUGAAAUCCCGGAGCUCAACUCCGGAACUGACUUUGAUACUGGGUACCUAGAGUAUGGAAGAGGUAAGUGGAAUUCCGAGUGUAGAGGUGAAAUUCGUAGAUAUUCGGAGGAACACCAGUGGCGAAGGCGGCUUACUGGUCCAUUACUGACGCUGAGGUGCGAAAGCGUGGGGAGCAAACAGGAUUAGAAACCCCAGUAGUCC